AUGAUGAAGCGGCUGCGAGGGGAGAGCACACUCCCAUGGGUAUGCAUCGAAGAUUUUAACGAGGUAUCGCGCACGGAGGAACACAUGGGUCCCAAUACCCGUGACAGCGGACAAAUAGCAGGAUUCAGGGAGGCGGUUGAUGUGUGCGAGCUUGCCGACCUGGGUUAUAAAGGACUGGACUGGACGUGGGGAAAAAAGAGUUAG
RNAcentral lists this ribosomal RNA (204 nucleotides) under Triticum aestivum (bread wheat). Its description in RNAcentral is "partial small subunit ribosomal RNA". Lineage: Eukaryota; Viridiplantae; Streptophyta; Magnoliopsida; Poales; Poaceae. The record is from RNAcentral.